RNAcentral lists this transfer RNA (76 nucleotides) under Clostridium sp. RNAcentral's name for it is "tRNA-Thr". It matches the Rfam family "tRNA". From Rfam's summary of the family: Transfer RNA (tRNA) molecules are approximately 80 nucleotides in length. Their secondary structure includes four short double-helical elements and three loops (D, anti-codon, and T loops). The record is from RNAcentral. Lineage: Bacteria; Bacillati; Bacillota; Clostridia; Eubacteriales; Clostridiaceae. RNAcentral also lists the same sequence under 1 other name.
GCUCACAUAGCUCAGUUGGUAGAGCGUCACCUUGGUAAGGUGGAGGUCGUCGGUUCAAUCCCGAUUGUGAGCUCCA